UUGUAACCCUGGAAAAUGAGGUCCUCUCUUUAUUUGUGAGCCAGAUACAACACAGGAAGUGACACGGGAAACGUUCUCAAACUGUCUUGCCACAGCAGCCACAACUCCAGACUGGGAAGACCACCCUGGGAAUAAGAAGCAAUUCAGAUUUCCUACAAGCUUCUUUUAGGUCAAU
RNAcentral lists this small RNA (175 nucleotides) under Salvator merianae (Argentine black and white tegu). RNAcentral's name for it is "TUC338 (ENSSMRG00000002845.1)". Lineage: Eukaryota; Metazoa; Chordata; Lepidosauria; Squamata; Teiidae. The record is from RNAcentral.